Molecule: ribosomal RNA, 471 nt
Filed under: uncultured organism
Description: partial 16S ribosomal RNA
Rfam family: Bacterial small subunit ribosomal RNA
Source: RNAcentral
CACUCCUGCGGGAGGCAGCAGUGGGGAAUUUUGGACAAUGGGCGAAAGCCUGAUCCAGCCAUGCCGCGUGCAGGAUGAAGGCCUUCGGGUUGUAAACUGCUUUUGUACGGAACGAAACGGCCUUUUCUAAUAAAGAGGGCUAAUGACGGUACCGUAAGAAUAAGCACCGGCUAACUACGUGCCAGCAGCCGCGGUAAUACGUAGGGUGCCAGCGUUAAUCGGAAUUACUGGGCGUAAAGCGUGCGCAGGCGGUUAUGUAAGACAGUUGUGAAAUCCCCGGGCUCAACCUGGGAACUGCAUCUGUGACUGCAUAGCUAGAGUACGGUAGAGGGGGAUGGAAUUCCGCGUGUAGCAGUGAAAUGCGUAGAUAUGCGGAGGAACACCGAUGGCGAAGGCAAUCCCCUGGACCUGUACUGACGCUCAUGCACGAAAGCGUGGGGAGCAAACAGGAUUAGAUACCCCGGUAGUCCC